RNAcentral lists this ribosomal RNA (401 nucleotides) under uncultured bacterium. RNAcentral describes it as "bacterial SSU rRNA". It matches the Rfam family "Bacterial small subunit ribosomal RNA", at positions 356 to 774 of the family's 1533-position model. The record is from RNAcentral.
GGGGAAUAUUGGACAAUGGGCGCAAGCCUGAUCCAGCAAUGCCGCGUGGGUGAAGAAGGUUUUCGGAUUGUAAAGCCCUUUUGGCAGGGACGAUGAUGACGGUACCUGCAGAAUAAGCCCCGGCUAACUUCGUGCCAGCAGCCGCGGUAAUACGAAGGGGGCUAGCGUUGCUCGGAAUGACUGGGCGUAAAGGGCGCGUAGACGGCCUGUACAGUCAGAUGUGAAAUUCCUGGGCUCAACCUGGGGGCUGCAUUUGAUACGUAUGGGCUAGAGUGGGGAAGAGGGUUGUGGAAUUCCCAGUGUAGAGGUGAAAUUCGUAGAUAUUGGGAAGAACACCGGUGGCGAAGGCGGCAACCUGGUCCUUGACUGACGCUGAGGCGCGAAAGCGUGGGGAGCAAACA